Molecule: long non-coding RNA, 598 nt
Organism: Salvia splendens (bonfire salvia)
Lineage: Eukaryota; Viridiplantae; Streptophyta; Magnoliopsida; Lamiales; Lamiaceae
Exons: 2
Source: RefSeq, a predicted model, not a curated record
GUCACAAUAUUUCUUUUCCCAGCUAUAUAUACAUGUCACAAACACACAUAUAUCUAUCCAUGCAUAAUCACCAACAUCCAAUUUCAACAAACUAAGCUCAUCAAAUCAACUUGCAUUGCUCAGGAUGGGUAAGAUGAUGAGGAUGAUUUUAUUGGUGUUUGUGGUGGUGGCGAUGAUGAGUGGCUCCCACAAGGUGGAAGGCAGGGUGGCGGUGGCGGAGCAGCGGAAGCUGACGGCGGCGGAGGAUGAAGGAAUGGAUAGUGGUUUGCAGGAUAACCAUCAUGCUUACUCCAUACCAGACUUCAACCGCCAAGGUGGAAGAGCUCCCACCAAAUACUGAUCACUUAUAUAUAUCUCUCUCAUAUAUAUACAUAUAUAAAUGUGUGUGUGUGUGUGUGUGUGUGGCAAUAAGGUGCUCAAGAGAUCCAUGAUCCAUCCAUCUCUGUUGUAUAAAAUGAAAUGAAGGUUUGGUGUGAUGAGGAGCCAUAUAUAUAUGCAUUAGACUAAUAGAUAGUUAAGAAUUUGAAUCAUUGUAAAAUGAAGGAAAAAAUGGGGAAAACAAGAUUUUUAAUGAUAUAUAGUAUUAAUUUGUUGUUUU